GUCACAUUUAAUAACCCCUCCCACUAUACAGUAAGAUUUGUAGGAGAAACUUUAUGGUUGCAUUGUAGUAGCAAUGAACAAACAGCUCUAAGCACACUGAAUACACUAUAGGUAUUAUGUAAAAGUUGCGAUGUACCACAGAUGCUUGACAUAAUUGUACUUACUUUAUGUUUCUGUUUCUUCCCCCCAAUGCAAGAAGUGUGUUGGCUAUGCCUAAAGUAGAUGAGAUUACGAUGUCAACUGCUCUAUCCUAGAUGGGAUGCUGUAGGCCCUAUGACUAUUUCAUCUCAUUGAAUUGUUUCUAGUGCUUAGAGUCCCCUAGCAGUGUCCCUCCAUUCAAUAUUAAAUCAUUUUCGACCAGUCCUUACUGGAGAUACAGCAAAGGCAGAGAUUACAUACUUCCUUCUAGUUGUACCAAG
Pelobates cultripes (western spadefoot toad) is the source of this 419-nucleotide non-coding RNA. NCBI's taxonomy places the organism in Eukaryota, Metazoa, Chordata, Amphibia, Anura, Pelobatidae. The record is from the annotation of a GenBank genome assembly.